AUCCCGUGGUGAGGAUAGGCGGCCACAUAUUCCUGAAGUCAUUCCCAUGCCUCAGGAAUAGAAUCAUCUCUCGUCUGCUGGAAACUCAAAAUUCUUCCACGAAGGGC
Oryza meridionalis is the source of this 107-nucleotide non-coding RNA. Lineage: Eukaryota; Viridiplantae; Streptophyta; Magnoliopsida; Poales; Poaceae. The record is from Rfam.